GCGCUCGUAGCUCAACUGGAUAGAGUACUUGACUACGAAUCAAGCGGUUAGAGGUUCGAAUCCUCUCGGGCGCG
This 74-nucleotide transfer RNA is filed under the name Shouchella rhizosphaerae. RNAcentral's name for it is "Bacillus rhizosphaerae tRNA_Arg_ACG". It matches the Rfam family "tRNA". Rfam says of the family: Transfer RNA (tRNA) molecules are approximately 80 nucleotides in length. The record is from RNAcentral. Lineage: Bacteria; Bacillati; Bacillota; Bacilli; Caryophanales; Bacillaceae.